GACUGACUAUGUUCAGAUGAACUAUUACUGACUAUGUUAUCGUUUUAUAUGAUAAGUUUUCUUGAAUCUUGAUUAGGUUUUAAGAAUGUUUUUGCAGGAAUGUUCAAGGCUUCAACACUCCAUGUCUAAGUCAUAGAGUUUGUAUUGAGGUUGUGAGAAAAAUGUAAUUUUGCUUUUAUUGGAUCGAUCAUGCAUGAAAUUAUCGUUUGGUGAUUGCGAUGAUCUUCUUUUUAUUGUUUCUGAGUUGUGUUUGAGCGUUGUAUUAUGUUUUGUCACGAAAUCGCCAAAGGAGGAUAUUGUUAAGGAUUUUCUAGGUUGGCGGAUUUCGUGAAGUCGAAAGGAGUCUUGAAGAGUUGAUCGUGGAAGUUUGAAGAGAAGAUUCACUUUGAAGAAUCAAA
Molecule: long non-coding RNA, 398 nt
Filed under: Ananas comosus (pineapple)
Lineage: Eukaryota; Viridiplantae; Streptophyta; Magnoliopsida; Poales; Bromeliaceae
Description: long non-coding RNA (ACOM_LNC015011)
Source: RNAcentral